RNAcentral lists this transfer RNA (64 nucleotides) under Peuceptyelus minutus. RNAcentral describes it as "tRNA-Thr". The record is from RNAcentral. Lineage: Eukaryota; Metazoa; Arthropoda; Insecta; Hemiptera; Aphrophoridae.
UGUUUUAAUAAUUUAAUAAAAAUAAUGGUUUUGUAAACUAUAAAUAGAAUAAGUUCUUUAAAAC